UACGGGGGGGGGCAAGCGUUGUUCGGAAUUACUGGGCGUAAAGGGCUCGUAGGCGGCCAACUAAGUCGGAUGUGAAAUCCCCAGGCUCAACCUGGGAACUGCAUCCGAUACUGGAUGGCUUGAAUCCGGGAGAGGGAUGCAGAAUUCCAGGUGUAGCGGUGAAAUGCGUAGAUAUCUGGAGGAAUACCGGUGGCGAAGGCGGCAUCCUGGACCGGCAUUGACGCUGAGGAGCGAAAGCUAGGGGAGCAAACGGG
This 254-nucleotide ribosomal RNA is filed under the name uncultured bacterium. RNAcentral describes it as "partial 16S ribosomal RNA". It matches the Rfam family "Bacterial small subunit ribosomal RNA", at positions 524 to 776 of the family's 1533-position model. The record is from RNAcentral.